UUUCCGUAGGUGAACUUGCGGAAGGAUCAUUAGUGAAUACAAACGCUUGGGUGUCUCUGCUUCGGCAAGCCCCUCGCACCCUUCACAUCCAUAACACCUGUGCACUGUAAUAUGACUCUCUGGGCUUCGGUCCUUGGGUCGUCUGACCUUUAUACAAACUAUUAUAUGUAACAAAUGUAGUCUUAUUAUAACAAAAUAAAACUUUCAACAACGGAUCUCUUGGCUCAC
This 228-nucleotide unclassified non-coding RNA is filed under the name plant metagenome. Its description in RNAcentral is "partial contains small subunit ribosomal RNA, internal transcribed spacer 1, and 5.8S ribosomal RNA". The record is from RNAcentral.